GGACAGGGAGACAGGUGGUGCAUGGUUGUCGUCAGCUCGUGUCGUGAGAUGUUGGUUAAGUCCCGCAACGAGCGCAACCCUUAUCUUUAGUUGCCAUCAGGUAAUGCUGGGCACUCUAGAGAGACUGCCGGUGACAAACCGGAGGAAGGUGGGGAUGACGUCAAAUCAUCAUGCCCCUUAUGUCCUGGGCUACACACGUACUACAAUGGCCGGUACAAAGGGCGGCGAAGGGGUGACCCGGAGCAAAUCCCAGCAAAACCGGUCUCAGCUCGGAUUGUAGUCUGCAACUCGACUACAUGAAGUCGGAAUCGCUAGUAAUCGCAGGUCAGCAUACUGCGGUGAAUACGUUCCCGGGCCUU
RNAcentral lists this ribosomal RNA (359 nucleotides) under uncultured Thermincola sp. RNAcentral's name for it is "bacterial SSU rRNA". It matches the Rfam family "Bacterial small subunit ribosomal RNA", at positions 1024 to 1382 of the family's 1533-position model. Lineage: Bacteria; Bacillati; Bacillota; Clostridia; Eubacteriales; Thermincolaceae. The record is from RNAcentral.